UAAGAAAUGGUGUAGACGGAUGCACAAGGAGUUUUGAUCUCCUAAGAAUAGGUUCAAACCCUUUUUUUUUA
This 71-nucleotide transfer RNA is filed under the name Batrachuperus pinchonii (Western Chinese mountain salamander). RNAcentral describes it as "tRNA-Gln". It matches the Rfam family "tRNA". Rfam says of the family: Transfer RNA (tRNA) molecules are approximately 80 nucleotides in length. The record is from RNAcentral. Lineage: Eukaryota; Metazoa; Chordata; Amphibia; Caudata; Hynobiidae.